Molecule: long non-coding RNA, 1207 nt
Organism: Homalodisca vitripennis (glassy-winged sharpshooter)
Lineage: Eukaryota; Metazoa; Arthropoda; Insecta; Hemiptera; Cicadellidae
Exons: 2
Source: RefSeq, a predicted model, not a curated record
AAAACCUAAAGUUUAGCUGCGCCAUUUCGCCUCAGUCGCUGGGAAAAAUCAUACCAGAAACCUGCACUGCAAUUUAUAAUGCUCUACGUGAGGAAUACCUGCACUUGCCUGAGAAUGAAAGCGACUGGAUGAAUAUUGCUACAGAUUUUAAAAAAUACUGGCAAGUAGAAAACUGCGUGGGGGCUCUUGAUGGAAAGCAUAUUGCCAUCCUUCAACCUCCUGGAAGUGGUUCGUAUUUCUUCAAUUACAAAGGUUUCUUCAGCGUUGUAUUAUUGGCUGUGGUAAACGCAAACUAUGAAUUUAUGUACGUAAAUUGUGGAGUGAAUGGACGGGUGUCUGACGGGGGAGUUCUCUUUGAAACCGAUUUUGGGCAACAGUUGGAAAACGGCCAGUUGAAUUUGCCAUCACCAACGACCUUUCCAAACAACAGAGAUGUAUGUUUACCUUUUGUUUUUUUUGGGAGAUGAAGCUUUCCCCUUAAAAGAAAACCUAAUGAAGCCAUACCCUAAUAAGGGAAUCACCCACGAUGAAAGGAUUUUCAACUAUCGUAUUUGCCGUGGAAGAAGAGUUGUUGAAAAUGCCUUCGGCAUUUUAGCAAAUAGGUUCCAAGUAUUGCAAACAACAAUCAGGACGAGCUUGGAAACCACUGAAGUUAUUAUUUUAGCUUGCUGCGCACUCCACAAUUAUUUACGAAGGAAAAGCUCAACUUAUUUGACGCCUAGUUCGGUAGACUGGGAAAACACGGAAACUGCAGUUCUCACUGAAGGCGAAUGGAGGAAGAAUGUUCGCCAACUUUUAGGCAUGAAGCAACGCAAUCGGUCCGGGAAAGAAACAUCACUGGCUGAACCAAUCCGAAAAUACUACAGGGACUUCUACAACAACGAGGGACAAGUAGAGUUUCAAGAGCGCAUGAUAAAUCGCCGCUAAUGUUAUACAUUCUAAAAUAAACAACAGAUGGGCGUAAUGUAUAUGUUGUAGCCAAGGGUAACCCAAUGCAUUACCUCUUUAAUGGUCCACUGUAAAUAAUUGAAAUGGAAAAUAAUGACGAUGUGCUUUGCUUUUAAUAUGUGUUUAACUAUAAAUAUAUGCACAUUUUACUACAGUUGGUUGUACUUUCUUGGUAAGUAUAUGUUUCAGUUUUUGUUUGUAAAAUUAUUUGAGUCAAAUCUGACAUUGUCAAUAAAAUAAUAAAGUAGUUCAAAUGUUA